Molecule: ribosomal RNA, 228 nt
Filed under: uncultured bacterium
Lineage: Bacteria
Description: partial 16S ribosomal RNA
Rfam family: Bacterial small subunit ribosomal RNA
Source: RNAcentral
UACGUAGGCGGCCAUAUAAGUCAGAAGUGAAAGGCUACGGCUUAACCGUAGUAAGCUUUUGAAACUGUAUGGCUUGAGUGCAGGAGAGGAAAGCGGAAUUCCUGGUGUAGCGGUGAAAUGCGUAGAUAUCAGGAAGAACACCAGUAGCGAAGGCGGCUUUCUGGACUGAAACUGACGCUGAGGUACGAAAGCGUGGGGAGCGAACAGGAUUAGAUACCCUGGUAGUCC